Molecule: transfer RNA, 77 nt
Filed under: Eubacteriales bacterium OttesenSCG-928-M02
Lineage: Bacteria; Bacillati; Bacillota; Clostridia; Eubacteriales
Description: tRNA-Arg
Rfam family: tRNA
About the family: Transfer RNA (tRNA) molecules are approximately 80 nucleotides in length. Their secondary structure includes four short double-helical elements and three loops (D, anti-codon, and T loops).
Source: RNAcentral
GUACCCGUAGCUCAGCUGGAUAGAGCGCAAGACUCCGACUCUUGAGGCCGAAGGUUCAAAUCCUUUCGGGUACACCA